RNAcentral lists this ribosomal RNA (459 nucleotides) under uncultured bacterium. RNAcentral describes it as "partial 16S ribosomal RNA". It matches the Rfam family "Bacterial small subunit ribosomal RNA", at positions 338 to 795 of the family's 1533-position model. The record is from RNAcentral.
CCUACGGGAGGCAGCAGUGAGGAAUAUUGGUCAAUGGACGCAAGUCUGAACCAGCCAUGCCGCGUGCAGGAUGACGGCUCUAUGAGUUGUAAACUGCUUUUGUACGAGGGUAAACCCCGAUACGUGUAUCGGGCUGAAAGUAUCGUACGAAUAAGGAUCGGCUAACUCCGUGCCAGCAGCCGCGGUAAUACGGAGGAUGCGAGCGUUAUCCGGAUUUAUUGGGUUUAAAGGGUGCGCAGGCGGAUUUUUAAGUCAGCGGUAAAAUCGUGGGGCUCAACCCCAUCCAGCCGUUGAAACUGGGGAUCUAGAGUGUGCGAGAGGUAUGCGGAAUGCGUGGUGUAGCGGUGAAAUGCAUAGAUAUCACGCAGAACCCCGAUUGCGAAGGCAGCAUACCGGUGCACAACUGACGCUCAGGCACGAAAGCGUGGGUAUCGAACAGGAUUAGAUACCCUAGUAGUC